GAUGAACGCUGGCGGCGUGCUUAACACAUGCAAGUCGAACGAUGAAAGCGGGAGCUUGCUCCUGCUGGAUUAGUGGCGAACGGGUGAGUAACACGUGAGUAACCUGCCCUUGACUCUGGGAUAAGCGUUGGAAACGACGUCUAAUACCGGAUACGACCUUCGGAGGCAUCUCCUGGGGGUGGAAAGAAUUCGGUCAAGGAUGGACUCGCGGCCUAUCAGCUAGUUGGUGAGGUAAUGGCUCACCAAGGCGACGACGGGUAGCCGGCCUGAGAGGGUGACCGGCCACACUGGGACUGAGACACGGCCCAGACUCCUACGGGAGGCAGCAGUGGGGAAUAUUGCACAAUGGGCGCAAGCCUGAUGCAGCAACGCCGCGUGAGGGACGACGGCCUUCGGUUGGUAAACCUCGUUUAGUAGGGAAGAAGCGAAAGUGACGGUACC
This 441-nucleotide ribosomal RNA is filed under the name uncultured bacterium. RNAcentral's name for it is "bacterial SSU rRNA". It matches the Rfam family "Bacterial small subunit ribosomal RNA", at positions 28 to 479 of the family's 1533-position model. The record is from RNAcentral.